This is a long non-coding RNA of Equus quagga, 1504 nucleotides long. RefSeq lists it as uncharacterized. The record is from RefSeq and is a predicted model, not a curated record. The transcript has 3 exons. Lineage: Eukaryota; Metazoa; Chordata; Mammalia; Perissodactyla; Equidae.
AGAGACAAGUUUGUGCGACGCCGAGCGGGCCUGGAGGCGCACGGCUGGCAUGGGCCUAGGGCCCGCCCUUCACUAGGGGCCACCAGGCCUGCAGCAUGACUGGGGGAGGCCAGCCUCCAGAGGCAGGCUGCAGGCGGGGGUCUGAAGGGCUUGUGAGGAGGCGCCAGGUGGAGGGCCAGAGCUGCACAGGGGUGAAAGUGCUUUGGUGGGGGUGGCAGCCAUGGGAAGGAGAGGAGGCCUGGGGCAGGGGUGGCAUAGCCGCAGGUAACUCCAAGCCCUGGUUUUCAAUAGCCUCGCAAGUUACCGAACAGCUGGCAGGGGCCCCGAGGCCAGUUCUGUGGGGCUUCCCCCUCCUCUUGGCAGGGAGGGCUGGAGGUGCCCCAAAGCCAUUCUGAGGAAUACGUGGACUCCUCCCCAUGCAGACCUCCCGCCUCUGCGGCUCAGUGCCCCAGGAAAGCCUGGGGUCUCCGGCGCGCUUUCUCUAACUGCUGCAGGGCCCGAGGGACCAGCGGUGGCCAGAACCUGUCCCCAUCGCUCUCAGUCCCAGGCUCGCAGCCGCAUCGCAGGCGGAGGAGGGUUCACCCAGAGAGCUUAGAAAACAGGGCAGUGCUGGCUGUGCGGGCAGGGCCUGGGAAUCUGCCUGUGAGCCCUGCGGUGGCUUUGGUGCACCAUCCGGUUCAGAACCUGGAACCUGAGGGCCUCAAAGGGAACCCCAGGAGGGCGGAGCUAUGCCGGCCUCCAGUCUACGGUUGGGGAAACCGAGGCUCCGAGGCUAAACAGCUCCCGGAAGUUGCAAUGCCGGCCGGCUGUGCAGAGAGAUUUCUUACCCUGAGCGACAGCGGGAAAAGAGUGGUCUUGGGGGCUAGCGCCGGCUGGGAGGAUGGAAGUCUGGGCAGAGCCCCGGGUGGUCCCCUAGCCAGAUCCGCUCCUGGGAGCCCGUCCCAGCACCUGCCUCUCGCAGCCCUCUGCUCUCACGUCUUGGCCCCUGCAUGUGGCUCGUGUGCACACGCCAGGGCUGCGGAUGUCUGUGGGCUCACACUUUUCCCUCAGGGCUUGGACGGUCUUGUGCUGACUUCCCGGCGGUGGAGAGAUCAGAGCUGUAACUACCACUGCCCGCACCGUCCGCCCUCUGCUUCUGAAGCCCAGAGACUUCACACACACACACACACACACACACACACACACGCACUGCAUAACUUUCUAGCAUCGGUGUUUCCCACUUUAGAUUAUGGUCUGUAUUUAUCUCAGAAAAGUUUUCUUCUGCUGUAUCACUUGCAUAUUUUUUUCUCUUUCACUUCUCUUGUCUUCUUGCUUGUCUGUGCUCCUUCGUCUGUUGUCUCCUCGUGAAUUGCUUUUAACUCUGUUCUUUUCCAUUUCAUUUUGUAUCUUUUCCACAAGCUGGUCUUCUGUAUUCCUGACUGGGUUUUUGACAAUGGCUAUUCUUAUUUUUUGAAUAAUAGUGUUUUUUGAAUAAAAGUAGCUUUUAUUUCUGUCAAGGUUUUAU